GCUGGGGAUAUAGCUCAGUUGUUGGAGUGCUUGCCUAGCAUGCACAAGGCCCUGGGUUCAAUCCCCAGCACAACA
RNAcentral lists this transfer RNA (75 nucleotides) under Marmota monax (woodchuck). RNAcentral describes it as "tRNA.Ala". The record is from RNAcentral. Lineage: Eukaryota; Metazoa; Chordata; Mammalia; Rodentia; Sciuridae.